This 278-nucleotide unclassified non-coding RNA is filed under the name Hevea brasiliensis (rubber tree). Lineage: Eukaryota; Viridiplantae; Streptophyta; Magnoliopsida; Malpighiales; Euphorbiaceae. The record is from RNAcentral.
CCCGGCCUUCGCCAGCACCGACACCACCCGCCCGUUCAUGGACGCGCGCAGCUUGCCGUCCGAUCCGGCGCCACCCGCCUUCAUCACGGCGACAUGGGACAGAUCGUGCACAUGCGACGUGACGCCAGCGAAACUGAAAUAGAGAUCAGCNNNNNNNNNNNAACGCCGUCGCUGGUAAAAUGCACCAUAUCGCCGUCGCGCGGCCCAAGCGUCAGCGCGUGUUCGGACUCGGCGAUGCCGAUCUUGAAGACGUCGCCGCGUUCGCGCCGCACCGUCGG